AGAGUUUGAUCCUGGCUCAGAUUGAACGCUGGCGGCAUGCCUUACACAUGCAAGUCGAACGGCAGCAUGAUCUAGCCUGCUAGAUUGAUGGCGAGUGGCGAACGGGUGAGUAAUACAUCGGAACGUGCCCUGUAGUGGGGGAUAACUAGUCGAAAGAUUAGCUAAUACCGCAUACGACCUGAGGGUGAAAGUGGGGGACCGCAAGGCCUCAUGCUAUAGGAGCGGCCGAUGUCUGAUUAGCUAGUUGGUGAGGUAAAGGCUCACCAAGGCGACGAUCAGUAGCUGGUCUGAGAGGACGAUCAGCCACACUGGGACUGAGACACGGCCCAGACUCCUACGGGAGGCAGCAGAGGGGAAUUUUGGACAAUGGGCGAAAGCCUGAUCCAGCAAUGCCGCGUGUGUGAAGAAGGCCUUCGGGUUGUAAAGCACUUUUGUCCGGAAAGAAAUGGCUCUGGUUAAUACCUGGGGUCGAUGACGGUACCGGAAGAAUAAGGACCGGCUAACUACGUGCCAGCAGCCGCGGUAAUACGUAGGGUCCAGCGUUAAUCGGAAUUACUGGGNCGUAAAGCGUGCGCAGGCGGUUGUGCAAGACCGAUGUGAAAUCCCCGAGCUUAACUUGGGAAUUG
Molecule: ribosomal RNA, 626 nt
Filed under: uncultured bacterium
Lineage: Bacteria
Description: bacterial SSU rRNA
Rfam family: Bacterial small subunit ribosomal RNA
Source: RNAcentral